UACAGAGGUCUCAAGCGUUGUCCGGAAUUAUUGGGCGUAAAGGGCUCGUAGGCGGUCUGUCGCGUCGGUAGUGAAAACUCAGGGCUUAACCCUGAGCCUGCUUCCGAUACGGGCAGACUAGAGGUAUGCAGGGGAGAAUGGAAUUCCUGGUGUAGCGGUGAAAUGCGCAGAUAUCAGGAGGAACACCAGUGGCGAAGGCGGUUCUCUGGGCAUUACCUGACGCUGAGGAGCGAAAGUGUGGGGAGCGAACAGG
RNAcentral lists this ribosomal RNA (253 nucleotides) under uncultured bacterium. Its description in RNAcentral is "partial 16S ribosomal RNA". It matches the Rfam family "Bacterial small subunit ribosomal RNA", at positions 524 to 776 of the family's 1533-position model. The record is from RNAcentral.